This 561-nucleotide long non-coding RNA is filed under the name Carassius auratus (goldfish). RNAcentral describes it as "lncRNA (ENSCARG00000066765.1)". Lineage: Eukaryota; Metazoa; Chordata; Actinopteri; Cypriniformes; Cyprinidae. The record is from RNAcentral.
GUCAGGUGACCAAAGAGACUCUGGGAAUCUGAAGAUAUCACUGUUUCUACAUCCUGAUCCAUUUAACUGCCAAAGACAUAUGAAAUGUCAUUUUGGUCCAUCCUAACCGUAUCAUCCUAACAGUGAGCAUAAAUAUACGUGGUACCACGUGACAAUGAGUUUCAGAAAGCUGAUGGAAACCUCUGGAACACUGAAUGACCUUCAUUUUGAUGUUCAGUUAUGGAAAAUAAUUUUUUGUACUUUUUGUACAUUUUAUUAAGGCAUUAAAAAAUUAACCUGUUACAGUUUUUCUUGAUCGUUUUUGUUCGCUCGUGAUGUUUUUACAGGGUCUGUUUAGUUAGAAAUUAGCUAAAUCUGACAAAACCUCCUUUUGAAGAUAUAAGCACAUUAUAAAUGUUAUACUUUGAGUUAUAUAAUAUAAACCACUUGUUUUCCUCAUUUGGAUAAAAGUGUCAAAUGUCAAUAGAGCCAUGUUUAUGUAAAAAGUUGUCUAGUUUUAUAUGAGUGCUGUGUGUGUUCAGUAUUUUUCUAUGACUGACUCUUAAGGGUGUGGCUCAAGAU